CUGAGAUGAAUCAGCUCAUCGUGUCCUUCCUCGGGACUCUAUGGUUAAGAGUCGAGGAUCUGGGGACAGAGGAUCCCGGGCCCCACUGCAGUCAGCGCCCCGCUCCAGGUAGGCAGAGCCUUUACUGACAGAGUCUUGUCAAGACUCAACAGGGCAGGUGUACUGGGACCAGAAGCCGAGGAAGGUGAUUCCCCAAAGUGAAUUUGAGGUGCUCUUACCAGAGAAGGGUUAUGGAGGCUGGUGGGUCAAAACCAACAGUGUAUACCACUGUCCCCAUUUCAUAGGAUGAAGAAAUAGAAGUGCCAAGAAUUUCAGCGAUGUAUCCAGAGAGCCACGGAAGUGAAGCCAGGGAUGUCAUUCAAGCCGUCCGACUGAAGUACCAUGAGCUUCCCCCACCCCCACUUCUGAUUUUAUUAUGGAGACGAUAUGAAAACAGGAAAGACUGCUUUGAGAAGAAUCCCCCAUCAUUCCGUCAGUGUAACUGUUGCCCGCUUCCUCCCCGAUUCGUCCUCAGUGUGUUUUCAUUGUCACACAGCUUCGAUCCCAGGGUCUCUGCACUGUCCCCACUCACCGGCGAGGCUCCUUGGGCUGGUGAAUUCUGUUGACUGAUAUUUCUGAGACUACACUUGUCGGUCUGGCUUGCAGCUGGAAUUGGAGAGGAAAUUUAUUUCCACGAAUGGAGAAGUGUCAGAGUGAGCAGGCACAGAACAGGCUCACGAGAAUAAUUUCGGGGCGAAAUGACUUUAGAAGAUCAACCAGCCAACCAAAUAUAAGGAAGUUACAUGGUGCCGUUAGUGCAGAAACUUCCAAAUGGAUGCAAGAAUCAAAGCCUUCAAGAAGCUGAUGUGAUUGGCACUUGGAAUAGCAGAGACAGAUGUGCAACACAGCUUGACUAUGGGGCAGGAGACCUUGGGCUGACUCCAGCUUUGCCUCCUGCCAGAUGUCUCAUCCUUGGAUUUGAAGUGGCAGAAAGUGCUCUAUACCACACCGAGUAAGCCUCAAUAAAAAUGUCUUCAUCUGACUUUCAAAAAGACUGCGGGCAAGGCUCCCUUGGAGGAAUGCGGUGGAGAGGUCCGGCAUCUGGACAUUCCUUCCGCGUGAUGGCACACAUCUGGCUCUUUGGAAUGAGCAGAACAUUUCCCUUCCAGUUUCCCUCCAGAUGUCUGAGGAUGUGAAGCUACAGCCCAAGAGUCCAGACACACAGGAAGACUACAGUUCUAUGCAGUAGCACUUAAUUGAUUGUGAGAUCGUGUAUCCCUCUUGUACCCCCGCUGAGGAGGCUGUGGGGGCGCAGUGUCUCAGCCUGACACUGAGUCAACUGCACGGAAGGUGGGUGCUCUGAAGAGUUGCCUGGAGCUGCAGGGGAAUUUGUGUGAAUGAGAAAUAAACCACUGUCUUGUUAAGCCAUUGAGGUUUGGGGGUUUUUUGUAGCCACGGCGUAACCCAACCUUUCCUAAUAAAUGUGUUUUCUGAUUGACAAAUUCAAAUGAUCAAUUUGAUGUUUUUCUGUUUUACUUUGUAUAUAAAUUCAAAGAGAAUUUUGAAAAAGCAGAUUUAAAAAAGUGAAUUCAUUUUUGUAAAAAUUACUUUUGAAGUAUAGUUGACAUGUAAUGUUAUAUUAGUUUCAGGUGUAUAACACAGUGAAAAAGCAGAUUUUUGAUGUUGUGUAAUAUGUUAGGGGGAGAAAGCUUGGCUAGAAAUUAGAAAUCUAUGGAAAAAAAUUAGAAAAAAGAGUGAGAAGUAUUAUUGUCUAACAAAAAGAAAAGAAUUCACUUCAAGUCCAUCUUGUCUCAUUCUUGGACAUUAAUAGGGUGACAGAAAAAUCACAGAACUAAGUGAUGUAUAUUCUGACAUGUGACAUCCAAGGAGGAGGUUUACAGGUAGUGUGAGAGAUGCUAAGAAAAUCAAAAUGUCUAAGGAUGUUGCAGAUUCUUUCUCUGGAAAUAGUGUCGGCACCUCUGAACACACAGUUAUAAACUGGCUUUCUAUGAAGGCCUCAGUUUCUGGAAUCACUGGAGAUCAGUUUUGAAGUAGGUCAGAUCUAUUAUAAACCUCUUUAAAAUUUUUUUUAAGACUUUAUUUAUUUAUUUGAGAGAGAGAGUGAGAGACAGAGAGAGAGCGAGCUGG
This is a long non-coding RNA of Mirounga angustirostris (Northern elephant seal), 2127 nucleotides long. RefSeq lists it as uncharacterized. The transcript is spliced from 5 exons. The record is from RefSeq and is a predicted model, not a curated record. NCBI's taxonomy places the organism in Eukaryota, Metazoa, Chordata, Mammalia, Carnivora, Phocidae.